RNAcentral lists this long non-coding RNA (309 nucleotides) under Ananas comosus (pineapple). RNAcentral's name for it is "long non-coding RNA (ACOM_LNC033337)". The record is from RNAcentral. Lineage: Eukaryota; Viridiplantae; Streptophyta; Magnoliopsida; Poales; Bromeliaceae.
CGAAGUUCAAUGUCAUCACCAAAACAUCGAACCCCUCGCGUGUAAUCCAAAUACAAUUUGAAACUCAAAAUUACAUCAAAACUCCUAAAACGGACUCUAUGACUUAGACACAACUAUGAGUCUUGAAGUCUUGAUUUUCUGCAAAACAAUUCAUUCAAAAAUGAUUAGCACUAAAUUCUUAUACUUUCUCCCCCUUUGUUCUUGAACUUAUCAUCCUCUGCUUCAGUUCAAAACCUGCUCAUCCACGCUCUCCCCCUUCAUCUACGCUCUCCCCCUUUUUGUCAAAAAUUGCCAAAAGAAAACAAAUAG